AUGAUUGUUAGCAGUAUGAAGGAAUAUGAAGAGAGAGCAGUGUCUCUGGCUUUGAAUCAGCCAAAACUGCGGGCGCUUACCAAUAAACUGAAGGCCGUCCGUAUGACUUGCCCUCUGUUUGAUACUACACGCUGGGUUCGAAAUCUGGAGAGGGCAUAUUUCAAAAUGUGGAAUAUCCAUUGUUCGGGGCAGAAGCCCCAGCACUUUAAAGUGACGGAGAAGGACUCGAAGUUCCCUUGUGAUAGAUGAGAGAGGAGUGAAUAAACAGCAUUGUCGAUAAAAGCAAGAGAACAAGAUGGUGUAUUUAGGAUGAUAUUGGUUAAGAUUGAAAUGGUCGUAGAGAGGUAUGUUUGCGGAUUUGACGAAAUUGAGUUUUUACCUCUCUGUUGAGGCAAAUCAGUUGAGCGAAUAAAGUGACAAAAUUCCCUCUAUGUAUAACAUUCCUUUCUGGUGCUUCUGAUUCAGUUCAAUCUAUAUUAUAGGUUGAGAUUCUUUGAAAAUAUGCAC
This 507-nucleotide unclassified non-coding RNA is filed under the name Hevea brasiliensis (rubber tree). Lineage: Eukaryota; Viridiplantae; Streptophyta; Magnoliopsida; Malpighiales; Euphorbiaceae. The record is from RNAcentral.